This 465-nucleotide ribosomal RNA is filed under the name uncultured bacterium. RNAcentral's name for it is "partial 16S ribosomal RNA". It matches the Rfam family "Bacterial small subunit ribosomal RNA", at positions 28 to 507 of the family's 1533-position model. The record is from RNAcentral.
GACGAACGCUGGCGGCGUGCUUAACACAUGCAAGUCGAACGGAAAGGCCCUGCUUGCAGGGUACUCGAGUGGCGAACGGGUGAGUAACACGUGGGUGAUCUGCCCUGCACUUCGGGAUAAGCCUGGGAAACUGGGUCUAAUACCGGAUAGGAGCCAUUUUUAGUGUGAUGGUUGGAAAGUUUUUUCGGUGUAGGAUGAGCUCGCGGCCUAUCAGCUUGUUGGUGGGGUAAUGGCCUACCAAGGCGGCGACGGGUAGCCGGCCUGAGAGGGUGGACGGCCACAUUGAGACUGAGAUACGGCCCAAGCUCCUACGGGAGGCAGCAGUGGGGAAUAUUGCACAAUGGGCGCAAGCCUGAUGCAGCGACGCCGCGUGGGGGAUGACGGCCUUCGGGUUGUAAACUCCUUUCGCUAGGGACGAAGCUUUUUGUGACGGUACCUAGAUAAGAAGCACCGGCUAACUACGUG